RNAcentral lists this ribosomal RNA (506 nucleotides) under uncultured bacterium. RNAcentral's name for it is "partial 16S ribosomal RNA". It matches the Rfam family "Bacterial small subunit ribosomal RNA", at positions 29 to 523 of the family's 1533-position model. The record is from RNAcentral.
AGUGAACGCUGGCGGUAGGCCUAACACAUGCAAGUCGAACGGCAGCACAGAGGAGCUUGCUCCUUAGGUGGCGAGUGGCGGACGGGUGAGGAAUACAUCGGAAUCUACUCUGUCGUGGGGGAUAACGUAGGGAAACUUACGCUAAUACCGCAUACGACCUACGGGUGAAAGCAGGGGACCUUCGGGCCUUGCGCGAUUGAAUGAGCCGAUGUCGGAUUAGCUAGUUGGCGGGGUAAAGGCCCUCCAAGGCGACGAUCCGUAGCUGGUCUGAAAGGAGGAUCAGCCACCCUGGAACGGAGACACGGUCCAGACUCCUACGGGAGGCAGCAGUGGGGAAUAUUGGACAAUGGUCGCAAGCCCGAUCCAGCCAUACCGCGUGGGUGAAGAAGGCCUUCGGGUUGUAAAGCCCCUUUGUUGGGAAAGAAAUCCAGCUGGCUAAUACCCGGUUGGGAUGACGGUACCCAAAGAAUAAGCACCGGCUAACUUCGUGCCAGCCGCCGCCGUAA